GGGUACCGGGAGAGCAGCGCGCCGCGGCCCCUCGCCUCCCUCAGAGCGCUCCGCACCGCCGUCCCCACCGACCUUCAGCGGGGCCGGGGCCAGGCUCCGACCGCCAGCAGUUGGCUCCUCCGUGCAGUCCCGGGUAGAGAGCCCGGUUCCUGCGCUAGUCGAUUUGUGCAGUAGGAAAGGAGGCUGCAGGGGAUCUGCGCUGGGGCAGGACAGCUGCCUUUCGGGACCCAGUGCUUGCAUCUUGGGAGAUGUGGGUGCUGAUCUGGUUGUUUCUUGGUUUAUGACGCAAAGAAGGGCGGGUGGGGGCUGAUGAAGUGAAGCCUUUCGCUAAUACAUUCCAUUAACAGAA
Molecule: non-coding RNA, 349 nt
Filed under: Pongo abelii (Sumatran orangutan)
Lineage: Eukaryota; Metazoa; Chordata; Mammalia; Primates; Hominidae
Source: RNAcentral